UUAAAUUGAAGAGUUUGAUCAUGGCUCAGAUUGAACGCUGGCGGCAGGCCUAACACAUGCAAGUCGAACGGUAACAGGAAGAAGCUUUCUU
RNAcentral lists this ribosomal RNA (91 nucleotides) under Escherichia coli O157:H7 str. K5467. Its description in RNAcentral is "partial 16S ribosomal RNA". It matches the Rfam family "Bacterial small subunit ribosomal RNA", at positions 1 to 88 of the family's 1533-position model. Lineage: Bacteria; Pseudomonadati; Pseudomonadota; Gammaproteobacteria; Enterobacterales; Enterobacteriaceae. The record is from RNAcentral.